Molecule: long non-coding RNA, 1466 nt
Organism: Aedes albopictus (Asian tiger mosquito)
Lineage: Eukaryota; Metazoa; Arthropoda; Insecta; Diptera; Culicidae
Exons: 2
Source: RefSeq, a predicted model, not a curated record
UCGUCAACAGUGGUUUUGUGAAGGUUUCCUCGGAAUCUUUGUUUCAGGUCCGCUCUCGGGCCUUACUUCACGAGUCGAGCGUAGUUUCUCGCACUUUGCCUCGAUUCUCAUUUGCCUACUCUUGCUCCUUCCGUAGGUUCUGUCUCCUGGUUUCCAGUAUGUUUCGUGGAUGCUUUGUACUUCAUCAUCUCCAAAAUCUUCUUCCAAACCGUCAAAGAUGUUGCUCGUAGUACACCGGAUGUUGAACACAUUCCUCCUUCUUUUGCUCCUCCAGUUGUUGGCGCCUUAUUCUUUUCGGGCAUUUUUUGCCGGCCGCCCCGUGGUCCUUUUUGCAGUUUGUACAUUUCGGUUGGCUUGGGCAUUUGUUCGUCGCUUUCCUAUGCAGUUCUCCGCAGUUUUGGCAUCUAUUUUUGCUUCUGCAUUUUGUAGUUGAGUGUCCAUUGGAGACUACGAAGGUGAUGAUUUUGUUUGCGGUUUUCUGUGAGAAAGUGAAGGAGGGAAGAUUUUUUGCUUUUUUUUUUCACUCAUACUCCCAUAAGAAACCCCGUAGGAAGAAAGAGUGUUUCUCGGCUCAUCAACCUUCGUAGUCCCCAAUACUUCCAGCAUCCUUGGCAUUGCUUUGAAUGGACCACUGUAGAUGUAUUGAAAGCCCGCGGAAAUUUCUUUCCUUCUACCACAAUUUUAAGGUUUUCCGUAUUUAUCAAGUUCCUCUUCUCUUUAUCGUGAUCCCUUCCCGCAUAGAAAUUUACCGUACCUAAAACGGUUCGAAAAUUAACAUUAUUAUUAUUUUUGUUGUCACCUAUUUAUCAUACAUUCCGCGUAUGGUCUGGUUAUUAUGGUAGAACAAUAUUGCAGGGAUUAAGUAAUAUUGUUACAUCAUCAACUAUUGUCCAUUUACUGUUGGGAAUUAUCCCACUGUGAAGAGCAAGGUGAAGAGACUUUUCCAAACAUUAGAUGUACCAUAGAUGCUGAUGUCCAUCCACUUCGUCUGGUCCGUCUGGCAGCACAGCAAUCCGCGGUGAUCGGUAGCCAUGUUUGUUUUCAUUAGCUCCUCUGGAUUGUUCUGAUGUGCUGUUUUCUUUUAAUUUAAAGUUAUUUGCCAGUUCAAGGAUCAAAAAGAUGAACCAAAUCGAGAAUCAAAUCAAACGAAGAUGUGCGUUCUAAUUAUCAUAUGUGAAGGUGACCUGAAGGAAAAUUCGAAUCAAGAGAAUUCUGAUCAUACAGGGAUGCUCAGUGCUCACCCACCCGGCAGGAUUCGAUAUAAAAGCUACAGUUACGAUUGUUCCGGACUUCAACAUCAAAAUCAUCAUACUCAAUCGAUACCUUAAACGACACCUCGAGGUGAUUCCGAACCUUGUUCCGAGCCAAUGCAGUGUUUUUCAUGCUGAACUUUCAUAAUAAUUUUGUUGAUUAAAGAUGAUCUCUUAAUUAACUGGCAUUGAAAAAUAAAUCCUAAUUGAUUAUUA